Molecule: ribosomal RNA, 495 nt
Filed under: uncultured bacterium
Lineage: Bacteria
Description: partial 16S ribosomal RNA
Rfam family: Bacterial small subunit ribosomal RNA
Source: RNAcentral
GACGAACGCUGGCGGCGUGCCUAAUACAUGCAAGUCGAACGCUGAAGGAGGAGCUUGCUUCUCUGGAUGAGUUGCGAACGGGUGAGUAACGCGUAGGUAACCUGCCUGGUAGCGGGGGAUAACUAUUGGAAACGAUAGCUAAUACCGCAUAAGAGUAGAUGUUGCAUGACAUUUGCUUAAAAGGUGCAAUUGCAUCACUACCAGAUGGACCUGCGUUGUAUUAGCUAGUUGGUGGGGUAACGGCUCACCAAGGCGACGAUACAUAGCCGACCUGGGAGGGUGAUCGGCCAACCUGGGACUGAGACACGGCCCAGACUCCUACGGGAGGCAGCAGUAGGGAAUCUUCGGCAAUGGACGGAAGUCUGACCGAGCAACGCCGCGUGAGGGAAGAAGGGUUUCGGAUCGUAAAGCUCUGUUGUAAGAGAAGAACGAGUGUGAGAGUGGAAAGUUCACACUGUGACGGUAUCUUACCAGAAAGGGACGGCUAACUACGUG